ACCAAAACCUUUUUUUUUUUUACAUGGAUCCUCGGUUUGGGAGACCUUGCACAUCCAUGUCAAAGCCGCGACCCAUUGAACAUAAGAAUCAAGGCGCUAUCUCUCAUGACAACAGAGAUCAUUAGGCAGCCCGUUGUUUAUAGUUAUGGGAAGACUCACAAGAUGUGUCCCAUGAAGAAGAGGACUGUUACACACACCGUGUAGCCUUGCCUGGAUGUAGCCGCGCGUCUCCUGGAAGGCCUGUCUCUGGGACAUCUCGGCCGGGUAGUGGGUGCAGAUGCCGAUGAUGUUAGUGCACAGGAAUAUCAGCACGUUGGCGCUCACCUGGAGGGACACAGGAAGAGGAAAGACUGCUGAAUUACUGCUGUAAGGAGAAUAACACGGCUUUCAACCGUUGCCGUAGUGAUAUUAGAACCAUGUACUAUGUACCCUUAAUUUAGUGCGGAAAUUAUUCAAGGAUUCAAUCAUUUGUUGACAGAAAAUUCUAGAUUCCUUGUUUUUGACCUUUAUUACAUGGAAAUACCAUGAGAAAUAACAAGUCUUUCUUACAUCUUCAUAAAUACAAAUACUUUGGGUUUAUGAUUCCUUUUUGUCAAUUGUUCAUCCAGUGAUUAGUCAACAAUAAAAUGAAUCAUGAAUUA
This is a long non-coding RNA of Gadus morhua (Atlantic cod), 641 nucleotides long. RefSeq lists it as uncharacterized. The record is from RefSeq and is a predicted model, not a curated record. The transcript is spliced from 2 exons. Lineage: Eukaryota; Metazoa; Chordata; Actinopteri; Gadiformes; Gadidae.